CGAAGGACCCGAGCGUUAUCCGGAUUUAUUGGGUUUAAAGGGUGCGUAGGCGUCCUGGAAAGUUACGGUUGAAAUCUCCUUGCUCAACAAGGAAACUGGCCGUAAAACUAUCAGGAUUGAGUACAUUGAAGCGGGCGGAAUGUGUCAUGUAGCGGUGAAAUGCUUAGAUAUGACACAGAACACCAAUUGCGAAGGCAGCUCGCUAAACUGUAACUGACGCUGAGGCACGAAAGCGUGGGGAUCAAACAGGAUUAGAUACCCUGGUAGUCCACGCCCUAAACGAUGAUUACUCGAUGUGUGCGAUACACUGUACGCGUCUGAGCGAAAGCAUUAAGUAAUCCGCCUGGGGAGUACGAUCGCAAGAUUG
This 367-nucleotide ribosomal RNA is filed under the name uncultured organism. RNAcentral's name for it is "bacterial SSU rRNA". It matches the Rfam family "Bacterial small subunit ribosomal RNA", at positions 526 to 896 of the family's 1533-position model. The record is from RNAcentral.